AAAGAUUAAGCCAUGCAUGUCUAAGUAUAAGCAAUUAUACCGCGAAACUGCGAAUGGCUCAUUAAAUCAGUUAUCGUUUAUUUGAUAGUACCUUACUACUUGGAUAACCGUGGUAAUUCUAGAGCUAAUACAUGCUAAAAACCCCGACUCACGAAGGGGUGUAUUUAUUAGAUUAAAAACCAAUGCCCUUCGGGGCUCUUUGGUGAUUCAUAAUAACUUCUCGAAUCGCAUGGCCUUGUGCCGGCGAUGGUUCAUUCAAAUUUCUGCCCUAUCAACUUUCGAUGGCAGGGUCUUGGCCUGCCAUGGUUACAACGGGUAACGGAGGGUUAGGGCUCGACCCCGGAGAAGGA
This 350-nucleotide ribosomal RNA is filed under the name fungal sp. RNAcentral's name for it is "SSU rRNA". It matches the Rfam family "Eukaryotic small subunit ribosomal RNA", at positions 39 to 393 of the family's 1831-position model. The record is from RNAcentral. Lineage: Eukaryota; Fungi.